Molecule: ribosomal RNA, 426 nt
Filed under: uncultured bacterium
Lineage: Bacteria
Description: bacterial SSU rRNA
Rfam family: Bacterial small subunit ribosomal RNA
Source: RNAcentral
CGCCAGCAGCCGCGGUAAAACGUAGGAGGCGAGCGUUAUCCGGAUUUACUGGGCGUAAAGCGUGUGCAGGCGGUUCGGCAAGUUGGAUGUGAAAGCUCCUGGCUUAACUAGGAGAGGUCGUUCAAUACUACCGAACUUGAAGGCAUCAGAGGAAGAUGGAAUUCCCGGUGUAGUGGUGAAAUGCGUAGAUAUCGGGAGGAACACCAGUGGCGAAGGCGGUCUUCUGGGAUGCUCUUGACGCUCAUACACGAAAGCUAGGGUAGCGAACGGGAUUAGAGACCCCGGUAGUCCUAGCAGUAAACGAUGUAGACUUGGUGUCGGAGGUGUCAAAACCUUCGGUAUCGUAGCUAACGCGAUAAGUCUACCGCCUGGGGACUACGGCCGCAAGGUUAAAACUCAAAGGAAUUGACGGGGGCCCGCACAAGC